RNAcentral lists this ribosomal RNA (301 nucleotides) under uncultured bacterium. Its description in RNAcentral is "partial 16S ribosomal RNA". It matches the Rfam family "Bacterial small subunit ribosomal RNA", at positions 509 to 809 of the family's 1533-position model. The record is from RNAcentral.
CAGUCGCCGCGGUAAUACAGAGGGUGCAAGCGUUAAUCGGAAUUACUGGGCGUAAAGCGCGCGUAGGUGGUUCGCCAAGUUGGAUGUGAAAUCCCCGGGCUCAGCCUGGGAACUGCAUCCAAAACUGGCGAGCUAGAGUAUGGUAGAGGGUGGUGGAAUUUCCUGUGUAGCGGUGAAAUGCGUAGAUAUAGGAAGGAACAUCAGUGGCGAAGGCGACCACCUGGACUGAUACUGACACUGAGGUGCGAAAGCGUGGGGAGCAAACAGGAUUAGAUACCCCUGUAGUCCCUGUCUCUUAUAU